This 496-nucleotide ribosomal RNA is filed under the name uncultured bacterium. Its description in RNAcentral is "partial 16S ribosomal RNA". It matches the Rfam family "Bacterial small subunit ribosomal RNA", at positions 29 to 507 of the family's 1533-position model. The record is from RNAcentral.
AUGCACGCUGGCGGCGUGCCUAAUACAUGCCAGUCGAGCGAACGGACGAGAAGCUUGCUUCUCUGAUGUUAGCGGCGGACGGGUGAGUAACACGUGGAUAACCUACCUAUAAGACUGGGAUAACUUCGGGAAACCGUAGCUAAUACCGGAUAAUAUUUUGAACCGCAUGGUUCAAAAGUGAAAGACGGUCUUGCUGUCACUUAUAGAUGGAUCCGCGCUGCAUUAGCUAGUUGGUAAGGUAACGGCUUACCAAGGCAACGAUGCAUAGCCGACCUGAGAGGGUGAUCGGCCACACUGGAACUGGGACACGGUCCAGACUCCUACGGGAGGCAGCAGUAGGGAAUCUUCCGCAAUGGGCGAAAGCCUGACGGAGCAACGCCGCGUGAGUGAUGAAGGUCUUCGGAUCGUAAAACUCUGUUAUUAGGGAAGAACAUAUGUGUAAGUAACUGUGCACAUCUUGACGGUACCUAAUCAGAAAGCCACGGCUAACUACGUG